This 736-nucleotide ribosomal RNA is filed under the name uncultured prokaryote. RNAcentral's name for it is "bacterial SSU rRNA". It matches the Rfam family "Bacterial small subunit ribosomal RNA", at positions 28 to 782 of the family's 1533-position model. The record is from RNAcentral.
GAUGAACGCUGACAGAAUGCUUAACACAUGCAAGUCGAUUCGAUUUACCUUCGGGUAUUGAGGAUGGCGGACGGGUGAGUAACGCGUAAGGAACUUGCCUCUUGGUCUGGGACAACUGUUGGAAACGACAGCUAAUACCGGAUAUUAUGAGAUUCUCGCAUGGGAAACUUAUGAAAGCUAUAUGCGCCAAGAGAGAGCCUUGCGUUCCAUUAGCUAGUUGGUGGGGUAAUGGCCCACCAAGGCGACGAUGGAUAGCCGGCCUGAGAGGGUGAACGGCCACAAGGGGACUGAGACACGGCCCUUACUCCUACGGGAGGCAGCAGUGGGGAAUAUUGGACAAUGGGCCACAAGCCUGAUCCAGCAAUUCUGUGUGCACGAUGAAGGUCUUCGGACUGUAAAGUGCUUUCAGUUGGGAAGAAGAAAGUGACGGUACCAACAGAAGAAGCGACGGCUAAAUACGUGCCAGCAGCCGCGGUAAUACGUAUGUCGCAAGCGUUAUCCGGAUUUAUUGGGCGUAAAGCGCGUCUAGGCGGAAAAAUAAGUCUGAUGUUAAAAUGCGGGGCUCAACUCCGUAUUGCGUUGGAAACUGUUUUUCUAGAGUACUGGAGAGGUGGGCGGAACUACAAGUGUAGAGGUGAAAUUCGUAGAUAUUUGUAGGAAUGCCGAUGGAGAAGUCAGCUCACUGGACAGAUACUGACGCUGAAGCGCGAAAGCGUGGGGAGCAAACANGAUUAGA